AACGAACGCUGGCGGCAUGCCUAACACAUGCAAGUCGAACGAGACCUUCGGGUCUAGUGGCGCACGGGUGCGUAAAGCGUGGGAACCUGCCCUUAGGUUCGGAAUAACUCCCUGAAAGGGGUGCUAAUACCGGAUACUGUCUUCGGACCAAAGAUUUAUCGCCUUUGGAUGGGCCCGCGUUGGAUUAGCUAGUUGGUAGGGUAAAAGCCUACCAAGGCGACGAUCCAUAGCUGGUCUGAGAGGAUGAUCAGCCACACUGGGACUGAGACACGGCCCAGACUCCUACGGGAGGCAGCAGUGGGGAAUAUUGGACAAUGGGCGAAAGCCUGAUCCAGCAAUGCCGCGUGAGUGAUGAAGGCCUUAGGGUUGUAAAGCUCUUUUACCCGGGAUGAUAAUGACAGUACCGGGAGAAUAAGCUCCGGCUAACUCCGUG
RNAcentral lists this ribosomal RNA (433 nucleotides) under uncultured bacterium. RNAcentral's name for it is "partial 16S ribosomal RNA". It matches the Rfam family "Bacterial small subunit ribosomal RNA", at positions 29 to 507 of the family's 1533-position model. The record is from RNAcentral.